GAAAGAUGGCUUUGGCUAUCACUCUGGGAUGGACCUGCGGUGCAUUAGCUAGUUGGUAAGGUAACGGCUUACCAAGGCGAUGAUGCAUAGCCGAGUUGAGAGACUGAUCGGCCACAAUGGAACUGAGACACGGUCCAUACUCCUACGGGAGGCAGCAGUAGGGAAUCUUCCACAAUGGGCGCAAGCCUGAUGGAGCAACACCGCGUGAGUGAAGAAGGGUUUCGGCUCGUAAAACUCUGUUGUUGGAGAAGAACGUGCGUGAGAGUAACUGUUCACGCAGUGACGGUAUCCAACCAGAAAGUCACGGCUAACUACGUGCCAGCAGCCGCGGUAAUACGUAGGUGGCAAGCGUUAUCCGGAUUUAUUGGGCGUAAAGCGAGCGCAGGCGGUUGCUUAGGUCUGAUGUGAAAGCCUUCGGCUUAACCGAAGAAGUGCAUCGGAAACCGGGCGACUUGAGUGCAGAAGAGGACAGUGGAACUCCAUGUGUAGCGGUGGAAUGCGUAGAUAUAUGGAAGAACACCAGUGGCGAAGGCGGCUGUCUGGUCUGCAACUGACGCUGAGGCUCGAAAGCAUGGGUAGCGAACAGGAUUAGAUACCCUGGUAGUCCAUGCCGUAAACGAUGAGUGCUAGGUGUUGGAGGGUUUCCGCCCUUCAGUGCCGG
RNAcentral lists this ribosomal RNA (661 nucleotides) under uncultured bacterium. RNAcentral describes it as "bacterial SSU rRNA". It matches the Rfam family "Bacterial small subunit ribosomal RNA", at positions 202 to 849 of the family's 1533-position model. The record is from RNAcentral.